GACGAACGCUGGCGGCGUGCUUAACACAUGCAAGUCGAACGAUGAAGCCCAGCUUGCUGGGUGGAUUAGUGGCGAACGGGUGAGUAACACGUGGGCAACCUGCCCCAAACUCUGGGAUAACUCCUCGAAAGAGGUGCUAAUACCGGAUACGAACUAGACAGACAUCUGUACUAGUUGGAAAGUUUUUCGGUUUGGGAUGGGCCCGCGGCCUAUCAGCUUGUUGGUGAGGUAACGGCUCACCAAGGCUACGACGGGUAACCGGCCUGAGAGGGGGACCGGUCACACUGGGACUGAGACACGGCCCAGACUCCUACGGGAGGCAGCAGUGGGGAAUAUUGCGCAAUGGGCGAAAGCCUGACGCAGCGACGCCGCGUGAGGGAUGAAGGUCUUCGGAUCGUAAACCUCUUUCAGUAGGGACGAAGCGAAAGUGACGGUACCUAAAGAAGAAGCACCGGCUAACUACGUGCCAGCCGCCGCGGUAA
RNAcentral lists this ribosomal RNA (482 nucleotides) under uncultured bacterium. RNAcentral describes it as "partial 16S ribosomal RNA". It matches the Rfam family "Bacterial small subunit ribosomal RNA", at positions 28 to 523 of the family's 1533-position model. The record is from RNAcentral.